GGACCGGCCAUUUAGCACGUCUGUGUGCGGGCUACCGAGCCAGCCAACAACCCUCCCACACACGGAGUCUGUCCAAAAGCGAAAGUUACUACGAAAGUACAGCGAAACUCCCGGACAAGAACUAGCCACCGAGGUGAAUCCUAUCCUGGGUCAAAACCCGUAACCGUAAAAUCGGUUCAUUUCUGUUCCGGACCUAUCCGGUCCAAUCCGGGCCGGACAGGUCCGGUUUCCUCCGGUGUCCCGCAGCUGGAGACUUUAAACGGACGGUGGGCGCACUGACCUCGGGCGGACCGCGGCUGCAUUUCGGGGACUUCAAGUGCAAGUUAUGCGUUUUUUUCCAAGAAACUACAAGAAUCAAAGUGACACGACUUGGUUCCAAAAAUGAACUAGAAGCAUCAGCUGACCUCGUGAGUACUUGCAGAUGAAGUUGUUCUUGGUGUUACAGUUGUCGUCGUUCCACUGGAACAUGUAGAGGCCACCAAGGCCUGGAGGAGCUGAGGGCUGGUGGUACAUGACCACGCACACCUCAUACCCGCACGAUGGCUCGUCCCAGUGCCAAUUCCUGCAGUGCACAAACUCUGUUCAGUGACUGCCGUGACAGUGCCGAAGCUCAACUGCAACAUGAUCAGACCUCAAAUAGCCUGCAACCAAGGUUUCUAGCUAGUGGUCAGCGGACAUCGCUAUUAACCAGCACCGGUAAUUCCGCAUCGGUCGAGCGUGGGACAUCAGACUCGAAUCAAAUGUCGUGGAUGUUAUGGGGCUGUAUUGGACCUGAAGGCGGCCUUGCUGCCAUCCAGCCAGUGGUACUGCUCCGGGCAGUCACUGCUGGCCUCCUGCG
Brienomyrus brachyistius is the source of this 838-nucleotide long non-coding RNA. RefSeq lists it as uncharacterized. The record is from RefSeq and is a predicted model, not a curated record. The transcript is spliced from 4 exons. NCBI's taxonomy places the organism in Eukaryota, Metazoa, Chordata, Actinopteri, Osteoglossiformes, Mormyridae.